RNAcentral lists this ribosomal RNA (497 nucleotides) under uncultured bacterium. Its description in RNAcentral is "partial 16S ribosomal RNA". It matches the Rfam family "Bacterial small subunit ribosomal RNA", at positions 28 to 507 of the family's 1533-position model. The record is from RNAcentral.
GAUGAACGCUGGCGGCGUGCCUAAUACAUGCAAGUAGAACGCUGAAGGAAGGAGCUUGCUCUUUCCGGAUGAGUUGCGAACGGGUGAGUAACGCGUGGGUAACCUGCCUGGUAGCGGGGGAAAACUAGUGGAAACGAUAGCUAAUACCGCAUAACAGUAGAUGUUGCAUGAUGGCUACUUAAAAGGUGCAAUUGCACCACUACCAGGUGGACCUGCGGUGUAUUAGCGAGUUGGUGAGGUACCGGCUCACCAAGGCGACGAAACGUAGCCGCACUGAGAGGAUGAGCGGCCACACUGGGACUGAGACACGCCCCAGACGCCCACGGGAGGCAGCAGGAGGGCAUCUUCGGCAAGGGACGGAAGUCUGACCGAGCAACGCCGCGGGAGGGAAGAAGGGUGUCGGAUCGUAAAGCUCGGUUGUAAGAGUAGAACGAGUGUGAGAGUGGAACGUUCACACUGUGACGGUAUCUUACCAGAAAGGGACGGCUAACUACGUG